UUGGAGGGCAAGUCUGGUGCCAGCAGCCGCGGUAAUUCCAGCUCCAAUAGCGUAUAUUAAAGUUGUUGCAGUUAAAAAGCUCGUAGUUGAAUUUCGGGAUCAAUAUUUCGGUCAUGCCGUUGGUAUGCACUGUUAUCAUUGAUUUCUCACCUUCUAAAGAACCGUAAUGCCAUUAAUUUGGUGUUACGGGGAAUUAGGACUGUUACCUUGAAAAAAUUAGAGUGUUUAAAGCAGGCUCACGCUUGAAUACAUUAGCAUGGAAUAAUGAAAUAGGACAUCCGAUUCUAUUUUGUUGGUUUCUAGGAUCGAUGUAAUGAUUAAUAGGGAUAGUUGGGGGCAUUAGUAUUCAAUUGUCAGAGGUGAAAUUCUUGGAUUUAUUGAAGACUAACUACUGCGAAAGCAUUUGCCAAGGAUGUUUUCAUUAAUCAAGAACGAAAGUUAGGGGAUCGAAGACGAUCAGAUACCGUCGUAGUC
This 474-nucleotide ribosomal RNA is filed under the name uncultured Glomus. RNAcentral's name for it is "SSU rRNA". It matches the Rfam family "Eukaryotic small subunit ribosomal RNA", at positions 548 to 1025 of the family's 1831-position model. The record is from RNAcentral. Lineage: Eukaryota; Fungi; Glomeromycota; Glomeromycetes; Glomerales; Glomeraceae.